This is a non-coding RNA of Caenorhabditis elegans, 21 nucleotides long. The record is from Ensembl. NCBI's taxonomy places the organism in Eukaryota, Metazoa, Nematoda, Chromadorea, Rhabditida, Rhabditidae.
UUGGGUGAAAACUUUAUGAAU